ACAGAGGGGGCAAGCGUUGUCCGGAGUUACUGGGCGUAAAGCGCACGUAGGCGGUCCUGCAAGUGGUGUGUGAAACCAAUCAGCUUAACUGAUUGACGCCAUGCCAAACUGCAGGACUCGAGUCAUGGAGAGGUAGUUCGAAUUGCUGGUGUAGUGGUGAAAUGCGUAGAUAUCAGCAGGAAGACCAAGGGAGAAAUCAGACUACUGGCCAUGAACUGACGCUCAGGUGCGAAAGCGUGGGGAGCGAACUGGAUUAGAUACCCAGGUAGUCCACGCCGUAAACGAUGUAUGCUCGGUAUUUGGGCCUGUUAAGGGCUUGGGUACCUAAGGUAACCCGGUAAGCAUACCGCCUGGGAAGUACGAACGCAAGUUUA
RNAcentral lists this ribosomal RNA (374 nucleotides) under uncultured bacterium. RNAcentral describes it as "bacterial SSU rRNA". It matches the Rfam family "Bacterial small subunit ribosomal RNA", at positions 525 to 896 of the family's 1533-position model. The record is from RNAcentral.